AGAGUUUGAUCCUGGCUCAGGACGAACGCUGGCGGCGUGCCUAAUACAUGCAAGUCGAGCGAAUGAAGAAGAAGCUUGCUUCUUCUGAUUUAGCGGCGGACGGGUGAGUAACACGUGGGCAACCUGCCCUGUAGAUUGGGAUAACUCCGGGAAACCGGGGCUAAUACCGAAUAAUCCAUUCCCUCACAUGUGGGAAUGUU
RNAcentral lists this ribosomal RNA (200 nucleotides) under uncultured bacterium. RNAcentral describes it as "partial 16S ribosomal RNA". It matches the Rfam family "Bacterial small subunit ribosomal RNA", at positions 8 to 202 of the family's 1533-position model. The record is from RNAcentral.